GGGCUCCACAGGGCCCUUUGGGUGGGUGGUUUUUAAAAAGGCACUAUCAUUCAAGUAAUAACUACAUGUGGUAAAAAAUUCAAACAGGUCUUCAAGGUGUAAAAUGAAGGGCAUGCCUUCCCCAACUCACCCUUCUGGCCUGACCCUUAUAUGCAUUUCCCAGGGGAAAAUCAAGGUUAAGUUUCUUAAAUACCCUUCCAGAAGUUCUAAAACGCACAAACA
Molecule: long non-coding RNA, 222 nt
Organism: Cercocebus atys (sooty mangabey)
Lineage: Eukaryota; Metazoa; Chordata; Mammalia; Primates; Cercopithecidae
Exons: 2
Source: RefSeq, a predicted model, not a curated record